GUCUCAGUUCGGAUUGGAGUCUGCAACCCGACUCCAUGAAGCUGGAUUCGCUGGUAAUCGCGCAUCAGCCACGGCGCGGUGAAUACGUUCCCGGGCCUUGUACACACCGCCCGUCAAGCCAUGGAAGCCGGGGGGUGCCUGAAGUGCGCUGCCGCGAGGAGCGCCCUAGGGUAAAACCGGUGACUGGGGCUAAGUCGUAACAAGGUAUC
This 209-nucleotide ribosomal RNA is filed under the name uncultured bacterium. Its description in RNAcentral is "partial 16S ribosomal RNA". It matches the Rfam family "Bacterial small subunit ribosomal RNA", at positions 1285 to 1500 of the family's 1533-position model. The record is from RNAcentral.